UGAACAAGUAAAAUACAAAACCGUGAAGACAUGAAUUUGGAAAUAUGUAUUGUUAUGUGUAUAUUGUUCUGAUUUAUUCAAGUGAUAAAGGCUGAAAGCAUAGCUUGAUUUGUCAAGCAACAAUUUCUUCCAGUUGAUAAAAAAGGAACAUAUCAUUCAAGGGAAUUGAGUAUCUUUAAAGACGAAUCAUUUUGGAAGCACUAUUUUGUGGUUGUCGUAUGGUUAACAAGUAGUCCGACCAAGUUAGGCCUAACAAUAAGUCAGAUACGAGUUAUUUUUAAGACCAUUGUAAAAUCGAUGUACAGUACCUAUGUAUAAUAAAAGCGGAAGAAGAUGGAGGUAUGCCGAUGACACAUACAUUCCGUCGAUAGUAGUGUCUUCUGUAUACCUCUCUAACAAUAAGUCUUCUUUGGCAGUGACCUUCCCAUAAUGAAAUAGGAAAGUGGAACAAAACUUUCCGAAUACGAUGUUUCCAUGGCAGUCUAGAUUGGGUCGUAAAGAACCGCGAGAGAAACAUUGUUCAUUGGAAACAAAUGCAUACAUAGAGACAAUGAUGGGUCUGACAGGCUUAGGGAUGAUAAUGCUAUAAAUAAGAGGUUUAGCUGUUGAAUGUUUCAUAUGCUGCACUGACAAAUACAACCUGGCUAACUUUUGAAACUCUCUUAUUUGAGUGCAUUUGGUACUAUCUCCUUCGAAAAUGAUUCAGAAACGUGUAUUUUAUACGUAGUGUGUAUGUGUAUUAUAACAUUUUAAUUUUUUAUAGAAUAUAUUAUAAAUUUAUGACACAAUAA
Molecule: long non-coding RNA, 791 nt
Organism: Megalopta genalis
Lineage: Eukaryota; Metazoa; Arthropoda; Insecta; Hymenoptera; Halictidae
Source: RefSeq, a predicted model, not a curated record